This 1975-nucleotide small RNA is filed under the name Arabidopsis thaliana (thale cress). RNAcentral describes it as "ATSL176490". Lineage: Eukaryota; Viridiplantae; Streptophyta; Magnoliopsida; Brassicales; Brassicaceae. The record is from RNAcentral.
AUUUUUCCAAUAAACAAAGAAUCAGCAUCACUUAGACCAGUUGAAAACGCAGAACUAGAAUACUGUUGAUCAAGAAUACUAGAUGUUUCAGAUACACACGCCUCAAUAAUCCUAGAGGUUAACCUCGGCUGCCAAAAUAAAAAGCUUACCUCAAACAUCAAUCUAUCUUAAAUAAUGAUUUUACAAGGAUUUUUAAAAGGGGUUUAAAAACGUUAAUAAUGAUUUUACAAGAUUUUUUAAAAGGAUUAUUACCUGAGUAGUAGAUGCAGAAUGAGAAGCAAAAGGAUUUGAAGUCGUCUCAGCCUGUAAUAAACUCACUCACUGACUUAAUAAUGAUUUUACAAGGAUUUUUAAAAGGGGUUUAAAAACGUUAAUAAUGAUUUUACAAGGAUUUUUAAAACGAUUAGUACCUGAGCAUUAGGGACAGAAUGAGAAACAAAAGGAUUUGAAGUAGUCUCAGCCUGUAAUAAGCACAAUCACUGACUUAAUAAUGAUUUUACAAGGAUUUUUUAAAUUAUAACACAAGAAGGUUAUUGAAAAACCUGCUCAACUGUCACAGAAAUUUGCUCUACAAUCAAACAUAACUGAAGCAAUCCUCCACUCUGUGAGAAUUUGUGCAUAAAAGUUGCAAGCUGUCUAUCGUUCCUAAUAUAAAGAGGAUGAGAUUGUAUGGUUGUAGACGUGGAGACUAACUUGUAACUAAGCUUCAAAGAAUUGGUUGAACUAUCUAUUUGAAAAUCCUCUACAAGAAUAUCAACCAACGCGUGAUAGGUAAUGUGCUCAUCAAUGAGCACUAAAGAAGCUCCCAAAUCAAUGUCUAAUUCAAAUUCCCAAGUCAUAUUGUUUGUCAACUUCCACAAGCCACAAACAGAAUACAAUUCUAGCAUUAUAACCUGAUAAGAUAAAUAACAACAAAAUCAACACCCACAAAAACACUGUCACUACAAAGAGAAGCAAGGUUUACAAAUCGUUUUAAAGCGUAAGUAAGUAGAAUAGAAUAAUUUACAAGGAUUUUAAAAGCUUUGAAAAGUGGUUAACAUGGUUUACAAAUCGUUUUAAAGCGUAAGUAAGUAGCAUAGAAUAAUUUACAAGAGAUUUUAAAUGCUUUGAAAAGUGGUUAACAUGGUUUACAAAUCGUUUUAAAGCAUAUGCAAAAGAGGUAAACACUAAAUCAGAACCAAAAUCUAUUACGAAAUAGUAUAACGAAUUCACAUAAGCAAAUCUAUCACGAAACAGUAUAACGAAUUCAAAAGGAUUUUAGAACAGUAUAACGAAUGUACAAGGAUUUUAGAAACAAAUUCAAUCAUCAAAUCUCAAACAAAAUUCAAAUUCGAAGCUGAAGCAAAUGUCAAACUGUCGAUUGAAUCAGGAUUCAAAUAACGAGUUCACAUAAUCAACAACAAAAAUCGAAUAAACCAAUUCGAAAACGAAGAUUUAAGCUAACAUUAUAAAAUCAAACCUGGGAAACGCAAGAGAUUCGACGGCGACACACAGCUCUACUUACGACGGCGAAGAUGGGUUUUCACGGCGAGUAAACUCAUUAUUUCCGACGGCAUGGGAUUCAACGGCAUUCACAAUUUCCGAUGGAGGAAGAAGAGAGAGAAUGAAGAAAUGAAUUAGGUCUGUGGAUAGCUCAUUAAGGGUAAUUUGGGGAGAAAAGUAUUAGAAAGGGUAGAAAUGAAAAUGGGGAAAAAAAGGGUAGAGUUGCAAAAGGGCAUUGAAAAAAGGGCAUUAGAGUGAAUUAUUCAAAAAACAAUACACUAUUCUCACUAUCUUAAUGGAAAAAUAUCGAAAAAACUCUAAACUUUCAAAUUUUGGAUGAAAAACUUUUAAUUAACUUCUCAAUAAUUAAAAAUUAAACGUAACUAAAUAAUAAUAGAUUUAAUUGCCCGUUAAAAACCAAAAUGACGUCGUUUUAAAGCUAAAAAUUAUACGUAAAAAAAAGUUAUCCACCAUGUACUCGAAUCAAAAACAU